AGGACGAACGCUGGCGGCGUGCUUAACACAUGCAAGUCGAGCGGUAAGGCCUCCUUCGGGGGGUACACGAGCGGCGAACGGGUGAGUAACACGUGGGUGACCUGCCCUCAGCUCUGGGAUAAGCCUGGGAAAACCGGGUCUAAUACCGGAUGGGACUGCUUGCCGCAUGGUGGGUGGUGGAAAGUUUUUUCGGCUGGGGAUGGGCCCGCGGCCUAUCAGCUUGUUGGUGGGGUGAUGGCCUACCAAGGCGACGACGGGUA
Molecule: ribosomal RNA, 260 nt
Filed under: uncultured bacterium
Lineage: Bacteria
Description: partial small subunit ribosomal RNA
Rfam family: Bacterial small subunit ribosomal RNA
Source: RNAcentral